RNAcentral lists this ribosomal RNA (253 nucleotides) under uncultured bacterium. RNAcentral's name for it is "partial 16S ribosomal RNA". It matches the Rfam family "Bacterial small subunit ribosomal RNA", at positions 524 to 776 of the family's 1533-position model. The record is from RNAcentral.
UACGGGGGGGGCAAGCGUUGUUCGGAAUUACUGGGCGUAAAGGGCUCGUAGGCGGCCAACUAAGUCAGACGUGAAAUCCCCAGGCUCAACCUGGGAACUGCGUCUGAUACUGGAUGGCUUGAAUCCGGGAGAGGGAUGCAGAAUUCCAGGUGUAGCGGUGAAAUGCGUAGAUAUCUGGAGGAAUAUCGGUGGCGAAGGCGGCAUCCUGGACCGGCAUUGACGCUGAGGAGCGAAAGCCAGGGGAGCAAACAGG